GACAGAGGAUGCAAGCGUUAUCCGGAAUGAUUGGGCGUAAAGCGUCUGUAGGUGGCUUUUCAAGUCCGCCGUCAAAUCCCAGGGCUCAACCCUGGACAGGCGGUGGAAACUACCAAGCUGGAGUACGGUAGGGGCAGAGGGAAUUUCCGGUGGAGCGGUGAAAUGCGCAGAUAUCGGGAGGAACACCGGUGGCGAAGGCGGUUCUCUGGGCCUGUACUGACGCUGAGGAGCGAAAGCGUGGGGAGCAAACAGG
This 253-nucleotide ribosomal RNA is filed under the name uncultured bacterium. RNAcentral's name for it is "partial 16S ribosomal RNA". It matches the Rfam family "Bacterial small subunit ribosomal RNA", at positions 524 to 776 of the family's 1533-position model. The record is from RNAcentral.